Molecule: non-coding RNA, 45 nt
Filed under: Schistosoma haematobium
Lineage: Eukaryota; Metazoa; Platyhelminthes; Trematoda; Strigeidida; Schistosomatidae
Source: RNAcentral
AUCCAGUUGACAAGUUCCGAAUCAGACGAAACGCGCGUCCUGGAU